This 467-nucleotide ribosomal RNA is filed under the name uncultured bacterium. Its description in RNAcentral is "partial 16S ribosomal RNA". It matches the Rfam family "Bacterial small subunit ribosomal RNA", at positions 28 to 506 of the family's 1533-position model. The record is from RNAcentral.
GACGAACGCUGGCGGCGUGCUUAACACAUGCAAGUCGAACGGAAAGGCCCUGCUUUUGUGGGGUGCUCGAGUGGCGAACGGGUGAGUAACACGUGAGUAACCUGCCCUUGACUUUGGGAUAACUUCAGGAAACUGGGGCUAAUACCGGAUAGGAGCUCCUGCUGCAUGGUGGGGGUUGGAAAGUUUCGGCGGUUGGGGAUGGACUCGCGGCUUAUCAGCUUGUUGGUGGGGUAGUGGCUUACCAAGGCUUUGACGGGUAGCCGGCCUGAGAGGGUGACCGGCCACAUUGGGACUGAGAUACGGCCCAGACUCCUACGGGAGGCAGCAGUGGGGAAUAUUGCACAAUGGGCGGAAGCCUGAUGCAGCAACGCCGCGUGCGGGAUGACGGCCUUCGGGUUGUAAACCGCUUUCGCCUGUGACGAAGCGUGAGUGACGGGAAUGGGUAAAGAAGCAGCGGCUAACUACGU